GGGUUGUGAGGUUAAGCGACUAAGCGUACACGGUGGAUGCCCUGGCAGUCAGAGGCGAUGAAGGACGUGCUAAUCUGCGAUAAGCGUCGGUGAGGUGAUAUGAACCGUUAUAACCGGCGAUUUCCGAAUGGGGAAACCCAGUGUGUUUCGACACACUAUCAUUAACUGAAUCCAUAGGUUAAUGAGGCGAACCGGGGGAACUGAAACAUCUAAGUACCCCGAGGAAAAGAAAUCAACCGAGAUUCCCCCAGUAGCGGCGAGCGAACGGGGAGGAGCCCAGAGCCUGAAUCAGUGUGUGUGUUAGUGGAAGCGUCUGGAAAGGCGUGCGAUACAGGGUGACAGCCCCGUACACAAAAAUGCACAUAUUGUGAGCUCGAUGAGUAGGGCGGGACACGUGGUAUCCUGUCUGAAUAUGGGGGGACCAUCCUCCAAGGCUAAAUACUCCUGACUGACCGAUAGUGAACCAGUACCGUGAGGGAAAGGCGAAAAGAACCCCGGCGAGGGGAGUGAAAAAGAACCUGAAACCGUGUACGUACAAGCAGUGGGAGCCUCUUAAUGGGGUGACUGCGUACCUUUUGUAUAAUGGGUCAGCGACUUAUAUUCUGUAGCAAGGUUAACCGAAUAGGGGAGCCGAAGGGAAACCGAGUCUUAACUGGGCGUUAAGUUGCAGGGUAUAGACCCGAAACCCGGUGAUCUAGCCAUGGGCAGGUUGAAGGUUGGGUAACACUAACUGGAGGACCGAACCGACUAAUGUUGAAAAAUUAGCGGAUGACUUGUGGCUGGGGGUGAAAGGCCAAUCAAACCGGGAGAUAGCUGGUUCUCCCCGAAAGCUAUUUAGGUAGCGCCUCGUGAAUUCAUCUCCGGGGGUAGAGCACUGUUUCGGCAAGGGGGUCAUCCCGACUUACCAACCCGAUGCAAACUGCGAAUACCGGAGAAUGUUAUCACGGGAGACACACGGCGGGUGCUAACGUCCGUCGUGAAGAGGGAAACAACCCAGACCGC
This 1002-nucleotide ribosomal RNA is filed under the name Escherichia coli. RNAcentral's name for it is "partial 23S ribosomal RNA". It matches the Rfam family "Bacterial large subunit ribosomal RNA", at positions 1 to 1035 of the family's 2925-position model. Lineage: Bacteria; Pseudomonadati; Pseudomonadota; Gammaproteobacteria; Enterobacterales; Enterobacteriaceae. The record is from RNAcentral.